This 1095-nucleotide long non-coding RNA is filed under the name Pan troglodytes (chimpanzee). RNAcentral's name for it is "long non-coding RNA NONPTRT011090". Lineage: Eukaryota; Metazoa; Chordata; Mammalia; Primates; Hominidae. The record is from RNAcentral.
UCUUCAGCUUCCAUAGGCAGGUUCUGCUUCCCUCAAACUUAGGAAAGGGCUUCAGAUGUGGAGCAGCCUAAAAGAAUGACACAUGCCCACUCUAAUUAGCUGGCCAAAUUAGUUCUACAGAAGAGAAGUACCAUGGGAUUUUGGAGCAGAAAGUGAUGAUUCUGAGGAGGCUUUAGAGGAGGGGAGAUUUGAUCAAGUCUUGAAGGAUGAGAAAGUUGGUAGGGUUGUAGGUAGGGAUAGGAGAAGGAUUUCGAGAGACACAUAUGGAAUGACAAUAUUAAGAAUGCUGAACUGGGGAAAACAAAUGCAAGCGCUGUGCUAGCAGGAAGGUCUGUGAUGUUUGCAGUAAAGCCAUUAUGAAGUCAAGAAUGGAGGUUCCAUUUUUAAAGAACUCAGAGGGGGUAGAUCUUGAUUGACAUCUCAUCUGGGGUCACCUGGUCUUCAACUGAGAGAUCUUUUGGUUCGCCACGGAUGCCCCUUGCAGUUAUGGAAGCUUCCCUGACCAGAGAUCGUUUUGAGUUUCCUUCUCUGGAAUUUGACCACUGAGCAGAGACACAUAGGACAGAAGAUGUGAAUGCUGAGUCAUCAAUCAGCAUCACUGGGAAGAAAAAGCCUCUCAGUUUCUUCUGCUGGGACUCCCAGAGCUGGAGUAUUUUCUGCUCUUCCUAAGGCCUGGUAAUUCAGCUCUUUGUGAGACUGUGAGCUUUACCAUACCCUUCCAGUAGCAACCUUCUUCUUUUUUAAGUUCAUUGCGGGGAAUAGGGAAUGAUGGCUGAUGGACAUAGGGUUUCUUUUUGGGGUGACAAAAAUGUUCUAAAAUUAAGUGGUGGUGAUGGUUGCACAAUUUUGAAUAUACUAAAAACUGUGAAUUCUAAAGUUUAAAUGGGUGAAUUCUGUGCUAUAUAAAUUGUAUCUCAAUGAAAUUACUAAUAUUCUAAAGCCUCCCAAGUGCCUUAGAUGUUCAGUGAGUGUUGAAAGCCAGUUUUUUAUCACAUCCUUAAGUCCUGCUACCUAUCUCUCAGUCUCUAAGUUCAGUUUCCUCUUUGGUUUGACUUGGACCAAUCUGCAACAACUCUUGAUGUUUCUUGUAAAUUC